This 854-nucleotide ribosomal RNA is filed under the name uncultured Paenibacillus sp. Its description in RNAcentral is "bacterial SSU rRNA". It matches the Rfam family "Bacterial small subunit ribosomal RNA", at positions 638 to 1499 of the family's 1533-position model. Lineage: Bacteria; Bacillati; Bacillota; Bacilli; Caryophanales; Paenibacillaceae. The record is from RNAcentral.
AUGGGGGAUUAAUGCAAAAGAGAGAAGGAAUUCCCCUGUAAGGGUGAAAGGUAAAAGAUUGAAGAACACCAGGGGGAAGGCGCUCUUUGGACGUUACUGAGGUGAGGGGCGAAAAGGGGGGAAGCAAACAGGAUAAGAUACCUGGUAGUCCACGCGUAAAACGAUGAGUGUUAGUUGNGGGGGUGUCAUGCCCUCGGUGCCGAAGUAACAACAUAAAGCAUUCCGCCUGGGGAGUACGGUCGCAAGACUGAAAUUCAAAGGAAUUGACGGGGACCCGCACAAGCAGUGGAGUAUGUGGUUUAAUUNGAAGCAACGCGAAGAACCUUACCAGGUCUUGACAUCCCUCUGAAUACGCUAGAGAUAGGGUAGGCCUUCGGGACAGAGGAGACAGGUGGUGCAUGGUUGUCGUCAGCUCGUGUCGUGAGAUGUUGGGUUAAGUCCCGCAACGAGCGCAACCCUUGAUCUUAGUUGCCAGCACCUUGGGUGGGCACUCUAGGAUGACUGCCGGUGACAAACCGGAGGAAGGUGGGGAUGACGUCAAAUCAUCAUGCCCCUUAUGACCUGGGCUACACACGUACUACAAUGGUCGGUACAACGGGAAGCGAAGGAGCGAUCUGGAGCGAAUCCUUAUAAGCCGAUCUCAGUUCGGAUUGCAGGCUGCAACUCGCCUGCAUGAAGUCGGAAUUGCUAGUAAUCGCGGAUCAGCAUGCCGCGGUGAAUACGUUCCCGGGUCUUGUACACACCGCCCGUCACACCACGAGAGUUUACAACACCCGAAGUCGGUGGGGUAACCCGCGAGGGAGCCAGCCGCCGAAGGUGGGGUAGAUGAUUGGGGUGAAGUCGUAACAAGGUAA